GACGAACGCUGGCGGCGUGCUUAACACAUGCAAGUCGAACGGUAAGGCUCCAGCUUGCUGGGGUACACGAGUGGCGAACGGGUGUGUAACACGUGGGUGACCUGCCCUGCACUUCGGGAUAAGCCUGGGAAACUGGGUCUAAUACCGGAUAGGACCAUGGUGUGGAUACUGUGGUGGAAAGUUUUUUCGGUGUGGGAUGGGCCCGCGGCCUAUCAGCUUGUUGGUGGGGUAAUGGCCUACCAAGGCGGCGACGGGUAGCCGGCCUGAGAGGGUGGACGGCCACAUUGGGACUGAGACACGGCCCAGACUCCUACGGGAGGCAGCAGUGGGGAAUAUUGCACAAUGGGCGGAAGCCUGAUGCAGCGACGCCGCGUGGGGGAUGAUGGCCUUCGGGUUGUAAACUCCUUUCACCAUCGACGAAGGGUUUCUGACGGUAGAUGGAGAAGAAGCACCGGCUAACUACGUG
This 466-nucleotide ribosomal RNA is filed under the name uncultured bacterium. RNAcentral describes it as "partial 16S ribosomal RNA". It matches the Rfam family "Bacterial small subunit ribosomal RNA", at positions 28 to 507 of the family's 1533-position model. The record is from RNAcentral.